This 494-nucleotide ribosomal RNA is filed under the name uncultured bacterium. RNAcentral's name for it is "partial 16S ribosomal RNA". It matches the Rfam family "Bacterial small subunit ribosomal RNA", at positions 28 to 507 of the family's 1533-position model. The record is from RNAcentral.
GACGAACGCUGGCGGCGUGCUUAACACAUGCAAGUCGAACGGUGAAGCGCCUUCCUUUUUGGUGGGUGUGGAUGAGUGGCGAACGGGUGAGUAACACGUGAGUAACCUGCCCCCUUCUUCUGGAUAACCGCAUGAAAGUGUGGCUAAUACGGGAUAUUCUGGGUCUGUCGCAUGAUGGGUCUGGGAAAGAUAUUGUUUCGGUGGGGGAUGGGCUCGCGGCCUAUCAGCUUGUUGGUGGGGUGAUGGCCUACCAAGGCGGUGACGGGUAGCCGGCCUGAGAGGGUGGACGGUCACACUGGGACUGAGACACGGCCCAGACUCCUACGGGAGGCAGCAGUGGGGAAUAUUGCACAAUGGGCGCAAGCAUGAUGCAGCGACGCCGCGUGAGGGAUGGAGGCCUUCGGGUUGUGAACCUCUUUCGCCAGUGAAGCAGGCCUGCCUCGUUUGUGGGUGGGUUGACGGUAGCUGGAGAAGAAGCGCCGGCUAACUACGUG